This 439-nucleotide ribosomal RNA is filed under the name uncultured bacterium. RNAcentral's name for it is "partial 16S ribosomal RNA". It matches the Rfam family "Bacterial small subunit ribosomal RNA", at positions 339 to 795 of the family's 1533-position model. The record is from RNAcentral.
CUACGGGGUGCUGCAGUGGGGAAUAUUGGACAAUGGGCGAAAGCCUGAUCCAGCAAUGCCGCGUGAGUGAUGAAGGCCUUAGGGUUGUAAAGCUCUUUUACCCGGGAUGAUAAUGACAGUACCGGGAGAAUAAGCUCCGGCUAACUCCGUGCCAGCAGCCGCGGUAAUACGGAGGGAGCUAGCGUUGUUCGGAAUUACUGGGCGUAAAGCGCACGUAGGCGGCUUUGUAAGUUAGAGGUGAAAGCCUGGAGCUCAACUCCAGAAUUGCCUUUAAGACUGCAUCGCUCGAAUCCAGGAGAGGUCAGUGGAAUUCCGGGUGUAGAGGUGACAUUCGUAGAUAUUCGGAAGAACACCAGUGGCGAAGGCGGCUGACUGGACUGGUAUUGACGCUGAGGCGCGAAAGCGUGGGGAGCAAACAGGAUUAGAUACCCGUGUAGUC